UGUGUAGGCGGUGUUCUAAGUCUGUUGUGAAAUCUCCCGGCUUAACUGGGAGGGUGCGGCGGAGACUGGAAUGCUAGAGUGUGGGAGAGGUAAGCGGAAUUCCUGGUGUAGCGGUGAAAUGCGUAGAUAUCAGGAGGAACACCUGUGGUGUAGACAGCUUACUGGACCACGACUGACGCUGAGACACGAAAGCUGGGUAGCAAACA
This 206-nucleotide ribosomal RNA is filed under the name uncultured bacterium. RNAcentral's name for it is "partial 16S ribosomal RNA". It matches the Rfam family "Bacterial small subunit ribosomal RNA", at positions 568 to 774 of the family's 1533-position model. The record is from RNAcentral.